AUCAAUAAGCGGAGGAAAAGAAACCAACAGGGAUUGCCUCAGUAACGGCGAGUGAAGCGGCAACAGCUCAAAUUUGAAAUCUGGCCUCGGCCCGAGUUGUAAUUUGUAGAGGAAGCUUUGGGUGCGGCACCGACCGAGUCCCCUGGAACGGGGCGCCAUAGAGGGUGAGAGCCCCGUAUGGUUGGACGCCUAUCCUGUGUAAAGCUCCUUCGACGAGUCGAGUAGUUUGGGAAUGCUGCUCAAAAUGGGAGGUAAAUUUCUUCUAAAGCUAAAUAUUGGCCAGAGACCGAUAGCGCACAAGUAGAGUGAUCGAAAGAUGAAAAGCACUUUGAAAAGAGGGUUAAAUAGCACGUGAAAUUGUUGAAAGGGAAGCGCUUGUGACCAGACUUGCGCCUCGUCGAUCAUCCGGGGUUCUCCCCGGUGCACUCGGCGGGGCUCAGGCCAGCAUCGGUUUUCGCGGGGGGACAAAGGUCCCGGGAACGUAGCUCCUCCGGGAGUGUUAUAGCCCGGGGCGUAAUGCCCUCGCGGGGACCGAGGACCGCGCUUCGGCAAGGAUGCUGGCGUAAUGGUCAUCAGCGACCCGUCUUGAAACACGGACCAAGGAGUCAAGGUUUUGCGCGAGUGUUUGGGUGUAAAACCCGCACGCGUAAUGAAAGUGAACGUAGGUGAGAGCUUCGGCGCAUCAUCGACCGAUCCUGAUGUAUUCGGAUGGAUUUGAGUAGGAGCGUUAAGCCUUGGACCCGAAAGAUGGUGAACUAUGCUUGGAUAGGGUGAAGCCAGAGGAAACUCUGGUGGAGGCUCGCAGCGGUUCUGACGUGCAAAUCGAUCGUCAAAUCUGAGCAUGGAGGCG
This 850-nucleotide ribosomal RNA is filed under the name Triangularia longicaudata. RNAcentral's name for it is "partial 28S ribosomal RNA". It matches the Rfam family "Eukaryotic large subunit ribosomal RNA", at positions 42 to 925 of the family's 3401-position model. The record is from RNAcentral. Lineage: Eukaryota; Fungi; Ascomycota; Sordariomycetes; Sordariales; Podosporaceae.